This 253-nucleotide ribosomal RNA is filed under the name uncultured bacterium. RNAcentral describes it as "partial 16S ribosomal RNA". It matches the Rfam family "Bacterial small subunit ribosomal RNA", at positions 524 to 776 of the family's 1533-position model. The record is from RNAcentral.
UACGAGGGGUGCAAGCGUUAAUCGGAAUUACUGGGCGUAAAGCGUACGUAGGCGGUUGAUUAAGUUGGAUGUGAAAGCCCCGGGCUCAACCUGGGAAUUGCAUUCAAAACUGGUCGACUAGAGUAUGUGAGAGGGGGGUAGAAUUCCAAGUGUAGCGGUGAAAUGCGUAGAGAUUUGGAGGAAUACCAGUGGCGAAGGCGGCCCCCUGGCACAAUACUGACGCUGAGGUACGAAAGCGUGGGGAGCAAACAGG